GUAGAUGAAAAGGACUCCUCGAGCAGUAACUCUCAUGGUGGGUGCCACCAAUGCUCCAACUACAGGUGGGUUCAGACUGCGGGCCCCCCUAUUGGGUCGUUUACUAUUUACUCACCAAUCUUGGUGCAGGCGGAGGUAUGUGAUUCUUCCAACUGGGUUGUAAUGAAAGAUACUCUGCAUUCAUCAUUGUUUGUAGUUGGGAGGAGUCCAACAAUUAGCCUGGAGCUCGAGGUGCC
RNAcentral lists this long non-coding RNA (236 nucleotides) under Lathyrus oleraceus (garden pea). RNAcentral's name for it is "Pisum sativum (pea) long non-coding RNA (PSAT_LNC007792)". Lineage: Eukaryota; Viridiplantae; Streptophyta; Magnoliopsida; Fabales; Fabaceae. The record is from RNAcentral.